Long non-coding RNA from Ostrea edulis (European flat oyster), 3492 nucleotides. RefSeq lists it as uncharacterized. The transcript has 3 exons. The record is from RefSeq and is a predicted model, not a curated record. NCBI's taxonomy places the organism in Eukaryota, Metazoa, Mollusca, Bivalvia, Ostreida, Ostreidae.
AUUCUUGACAGCAUUCAGACAAAGCCACAAGCGCGCGUUUUGUCUACAGGUGUGAAACCUGAGGGUCAUGGACACACAUGGGUCUUUCCUUUACUUACAUGUUGUAAUAUUUAGCAAUACAGUGGGGUCUGGGAAGCUUGAAUCAUAGGGGACUAUAUUUUGAUGAAUGAACGGCGUAGUGAAAUAUCACUUUGCUUAUUAAUAUUCAGCUCAUUUGGAUAAAAGAUAAAAGCAAAAAUCUUACUGAUCUGCUUUUCUUCAACAACACCGCCCACUUAUUUCCUUUCUCUGUUUUUCUUUUCUUUUCUUUUCUUUUCUUUCUUUCUUUUCUCGGUCGAAUUAAUAAUAACUGAAUGGUUUCCACAGAGAUAUUUUACGAUUGUUUCAUUAGGUACCAUCUGAGUUUGAUAAAGUUUACCGAUAAGCUGAUUGUACAUUUCAAUCUUAACACAGGAAUAAUAAAAUGGUGCAUUUUAAUCUAAUCAUAAAAUUGUAAUUUCAAUCCCAACACAGGAGUAGUAAAAUGGUACAUUUCAAUCUUCCUCCAAGUCUAUAGUUCUCAGACUGAACCUUCACGCAGGAACAAACACUGAAUAUUCACCGCACAAUUUUCGUCUUACAAAUGAAAUGUCAUAAAACACCCUCUUUAUAAUUAGCUCAUUUGGUUCUACUCACUUAAUGGUACAAAACAUUAUUACAGCAUAUAGCCAUGAUAUAAAAUAAUUACACCAAAUGAGCAUGCAGAAAAUAGAAUUAACGAAUAUGGUAGCAGGGUUAAUUAGAACACACAGUAUGGGAUUUACAUAUAUUUACAGAAUAGACGUCUGGUGGAUUUAAAUCAACUCGCCUAUUGACUUAUGUAUACAUGUACGUGUAAAUGUGUUGUUUUAACACUGGGUGUUUAUUACUGUAGCGUUUUGGAUAAUGUGUGUUUUAAUGUUGUACCCCCAUUCUCAAUAUAAGGGAUCAAACAAUGUCGCUCCAUUAUUACUUAAGAGAAUUAACCUCCGUGCUAUAUUUUCAUCAACAUUAUGAAUAUGUUUAUAUGAUUAAAAAAGAAAAUACAAUAGGAUUGGUUUGGAAGGAUAUUUAACUGGUUUCAAAUUAGAAAAUAGUAGCGUAUUUGAAAUGUACGUUACUGUCUCCGAGUAAUACUUUACGUCUGAUCAUGUCUACGAAAUCCCCGUUUAUUUUAGGUUAAAAUGUCCUGAUAAAACAAAUCCAAAAUAUCGUAUAGAUGGCAUUGCUAAUUUUUUCUAUCCGUCCUUGUGAUAAUAAAUGAUUUAUCGCGUACAAUGUACCUGUCACAUAUUCUAUUUUCGCCCUUUUUUUUUUUUAAAUAAUCGCAAAGAUUAGAGACCCGACUGGUCGUUUCCUGAUAUACUUUCUGUCUCAUUAAAUGAAACAAUGAUUCUUAAGUUUAACAAUUUGUUUUCAAUUCUUGACUUAAGAUUGAUAUUUCAUAACGUAGAGAUAAGAAAGAAAUGUACGUUACCCUAGUUUUUUUUUUUUCCCGUAUUCAAUAUGCCGGGUGAGAAAUGCCAAUAGGCUACAUGUUGAACACUGUAUGUACGUUUCUGGGGAUGCAUAAAUUGUGAUUAUUUAUAUCAUUUUAUUGCGGUUGGUUGUUUUAGUGACUCGAGAAAAUAAAUCUCUAAGUAAAUAUCCACAUAGUUUUACGUUUUUUUUUUUUGUCUUCGCUUUUAAACAUCAGAAAUUUAAUCCAAUAACUCAUGUUUUUUGGUACUUGGGCAUUCACUUACAACAUUCUGCAAAAUAACUUACAAACUAGGUAGAUAUUUUUGCAUCAGAAAUGAGUCGUCUUUAGCCCUCACCAUUUUGUAUGUAAGAGUUGCCCAAGUGAUGCUUAAUUUUCGUAACUUCUUUUUCUGAAGAGUUCAAAAAAUUUUUAGUUCCGAUACCCCGUAUUAUCCUACAUUACUAUAUUAAAAUGACUGAUUAUAUACAUUAGCUAAAUAUGUUACAGGCGAUGUUCUAUUACUAUUUUUUUCCACAUUUUAUGAACAUAAUUUUCUUAUAUUGAUAAUCCUUGACAAUUAUUUCAUAUUGUCGUGUAUAGAUAAAAUAAAUGUGUUUUUUUUUUUAAAGGUUAAUGUUGUAAUAAAAUUGGAAAAACCAUAACGGUAACGUACAUUUCAAUAAUUCAUUCAUUCAUUCAUUCAUUCUUUAUUUCCUCCCAUGGGAGAUUGCAUGAACAAUGCAGAAAUUACAUCAUUAGAGUAUUACACAUAUUCAUAUAUACAAAGGAAAAGGAUAUGAGAUUUGUACAUAAGAAGAAAGUUGAGCACAAAAUAAGUACAGGCGAUACAUAGCUAAUUAGAAUUGAACACCGGAAAUGGUGAAAAAUCCGCAGUUAUGUAAGACGUAACUGUCUGUUGUAACAUGCUGCUGCAUCCCUCAGGAAGCGGAAGUUCAGAAGAUGCAAGCCGGGUUCGUCAUAAUGGGUAUGAUUAACCGUGAACAUCCUAGCACCUAAUAGAAAAAGAUAUAGAUCUUGAUGACAGAGACCGCAAAGUUCAGCACUGAGCACAAUAUCAAGGUCAAUUACUGUAUUCCACCAAGCAUCUUGGAUAGCGACUGUUCCUACGCAAGUGGUCGAAACAUGUUCAAAAACGUUUGUGAAAUACUUGCCACAGAUGAGACAAGAUGUCGGAGGAGAGUGUGGAAAGGACCAUAGCUUAGUGAUAAAUUUGCAAAUCACUAUUUCAUGAAUGUUAGACGGAAUUUUCCAGAUAGUCUGUGGAGGUCGCCCUGCCGUUAUUUUGUUGAAUUGUUGAAAAGAAGGAUCCGAGAGCAUCCGUUUGUGCCUUGAAUCUAGAUGGAAAUCAAUUAUUGCUGUUUUGACGCUUGUUUUCCACAAACUCUUUGGAGGAAAGUAACCGUCUUGCAGAUAGAGUAGAAAAUACCGGUGGAGGUUAUACUUAUAGAGUAGAUUAAAAACUUCAUGGAUAAAACCAAAAUGUUUGAGUUGCGGAGACUGUAUAAGAAAUCGGAACAAGUCCAAGUAAGGAUUCACAAAUGUCAGAUCGAGUAACUUUUGGUAAACCUAUUGCAUGCUUGCAAAUGAAGUGCUGUAAGGUAUUAAGGGCCUGCAGAUCUCGUUGGCGUAAAUCGCUCCAGAGUUCACACCCGUAUAGGGUGAGAGGGAGAACAAUUCUGUUGUACAAACGCGAUACGGUAUCAGGGUUAAGGUGUUCUUGUAUUUUGAGUGCAUAGUAGUCUUGUUGACCUUUCCUACACGCGUUGGCAAUUUUCUCAGUAUGAACAAGUUUGGAUUGAAGAAGAAUUAAAUAAUUGAAAUGUACAAAUGAAGUCCUCCGUUUUAGCCUUGUCUUCUUUCAUCAAAUUAGAUAUAUGCAAGGUGUCCACAACGUACCGCUGUCAGAACAUAUUGAUUUUUCCGAUAUCUCUUAUAUUUGUUUCUUGCUUUAAAAAAAAAAAAAAAAAAAAAAAAAAAAAACAAAAAAAAAA